UGGGGAAUAUUGCGCAAUGGGGGGAACCCUGACGCAGCCAUGCCGCGUGAAUGAAGAAGGCCUUCGGGUUGUAAAGUUCUUUCGGUAUUGAGGAAGGUUGAUGUGUUAAUAGCACAUCAAAUUGACGUUAAAUACAGAAGAAGCACCGGCUAACUCCGUGCCAGCAGCCGCGGUAAUACGGAGGGUGCGAGCGUUAAUCGGAAUAACUGGGCGUAAAGGGCACGCAGGCGGUUAUUUAAGUGAGGUGUGAAAGCCCCGGGCUUAACCUGGGAAUUGCAUUUUAGACUGGGUAACUAGAGUACUUUAGGGAGGGGUAGAAUUCCACGUGUAGCGGUGAAAUGCGUAGAGAUGUGGAGGAAUACCGAAGGCGAAGGCAGCCCCUUGGGAAUGUACUGACGCUCAUGUGCGAAAGCGUGGGGAGCAAACAGGAUUAGAUACCCUGGUAGUCCACGCUGUAAACGCUGUCGAUUUGGGGGUUGGGGUUUAACUCUGGCGCCCGUAGCUAACGUGAUAAAUCGACCGCCUGGGGAGUACGGCCGCAAGGUUA
RNAcentral lists this ribosomal RNA (547 nucleotides) under uncultured bacterium. RNAcentral's name for it is "bacterial SSU rRNA". It matches the Rfam family "Bacterial small subunit ribosomal RNA", at positions 355 to 896 of the family's 1533-position model. The record is from RNAcentral.